CUCCCUCUUCUUUUUCUCUAUUGUGCUAGAUUUUUGAUUUUAUCGUUGGAGGAUCCUCGUCGGAGCCAACUCCAGUUGGGACUUAUUUUACAGGAAUGUCGCUCCGAUGGUUCUUGACUUCUUCUAGCCGUGUCCGUACGUGGUCAGAAAUCUUCCAUAACAGUAUGAAAUCCGAUGGCGAUUGCCUAAUCUCUUUCUCUCUCUCUGUCUCUAUCUCUAUCUCUACCUGCUCAUUGUCUAAAAAGAGGGGAGGAGUAGGUUAAUGGAAGGGAGAAGAGUGGAUCCUCUAUGGUGCAUUAUUGAUGGACGACCAACAAACAACGUAUGCAUGAGUACAGGCUGUGCAUACAUAUAGAGCAUAUUGUUUGUUAGCCAUCAAUUAUACGAUGGAUGGCCAGCACAAUGCACCACAUACUGC
This 418-nucleotide long non-coding RNA is filed under the name Elaeis guineensis (African oil palm). RNAcentral describes it as "long non-coding RNA (EGUI_LNC016916)". Lineage: Eukaryota; Viridiplantae; Streptophyta; Magnoliopsida; Arecales; Arecaceae. The record is from RNAcentral.